CUCUCCUUCUAUUCUAAAUGACAGACUUGCUGGAUAAAGGAUUCUCGGCUGCAUAUUUUUCCUGUUCAUCACGUUGAAGAUCUCCUGCCAUUCCUUUCUGUCCUGCCAAGUUUCAGAGGAGAGAUCGGUCACGAGUCUUAUAGGUCUCCCUUUAUAUGUUAGAGCACAUUUAUCCCUCGCUGCUUUCAGAAUUUUCUCUUUAUCCUUGUAUUUUGCCAGUUUCACUAUGAUAUGUCGUGCAGAAGAUCGAUUCAAGUUACGUCUGAAGGGAGUUCUCUGUGCCUCUUGGAUUUCAAUGCCUUUUUCCUUCCCUAGAUCCGGGAAGUUCUCAGCUAUGAUUUCUUCAAGUACACCUUCAGCACCUUUCCCUCUCUCUUCCUCCUCUGGAAUACCAAUUAUGCGUAUAUUAUUUCCCUUUAGUGCAUCACUUAGUUCUCUAAUUUUCCCCUCAUACUCCUGGAUUUUUUUUAUCUCUCUUUUUCUCAGCUUCUUCUUUUUCCAUAAUUUUAUCUUCUAGUUCACCUAUUCUCUCCUCUGCCUCUUCAAUCCGAGCUGUGGUCGUUUCCAUUUUAUUUUGCAGCUCGUUUAUCGCAUUUUUUAGCUCCUCCUGACUAUUCCUUAGUCCCUUGAUCUCUGUAGCAAUAGAUUCUCUGCUGUCCUCUAUACUGUUUUCAAGCCCAGCAAUUAAUUUUAUUACUAUUAUUCUAAAUUCACUUUCUGUUAUAUUGUUUAAAUCCUUUUUGAUCAGUUCGUUAGCUGUUGUUAUUUCCUGGAGAUUCUUUUGAGGGGAAUUCUUCCGUUUGGUCAUUUUGGAUAGUUCCUGGAGUGGUGCGGACCUCCAGGGCACUUCCCCCGUGCUGUCUUGAAUAACUCGCGUUGGUGGGCAGGGCCGCAGUCAGACCUGAUGUCUGCCCCCAGCCCACCGCUGGGGCCACAGUCAGACUGGUGUGUGCCUUCUCUUCCCCUCUCCUAGGGGCGGGAUUCACUGUGGGGUGGCGUGGCCCGUCUGGGCUACUUGCACACUGCUAGGCUUGUGGUGCUGGGGAUCUGGCAUAUUAGCUGGGGUGGAUCGGCAAGGUGCACGGGUGUGGGAUGGUCAGGCUCAGCUCGCUUUUCCUUCGGAGAUCUGCUUCAGGAGGGGCCCUUCAGCACUGGGAGGGAGUCAGACCCGCCGGAGGGAUGGAUCCACAGAAGCACAGCGUUGGGCGUUUGCGCGAUGCCAGCAAGUUCCCUGGCAGGAACUGGUUCCCUUUGGGAUUUUGGCUGGGGGAUGGGCAAGGGAGAUGGCGCUGGCGAGCGCCUUUGUUCCCCGCCAAGCUGUGCUCUGUCGUCUGGGGCUCACCAACUCUCCCUCCCGUUGUCCUCCAGUCCUCCUGUUCUCUGAGCAGAGCUGUUAGCUUAUAACCUUCCAGAUGUCAAGUCCUGCUUGCUGUCGGAACACACUCCGUCCGGCCCCUCCGCUUUUGCCAGCCAGACUCGGGGGCUGCUUGGCCGGCGGGCCACCCCUCUGCCCCGGCCCCCUCCCGCGAGUCCGUGGAGCGUGCACCGCCUCGCCGUCCUUCCUACCCUCUUCCGUGGGCCUCUCGUCUGCACUUGGCUCCGGAGACUCCGUUCUGCUAGUCUUCUGGCGGUUUUCUGGGUUCUUUAGGCAGGUGUAGGUGGAAUCUAAGUGAUAUGCAGGACGCGGUGAGCCCAGCAUCCUCCUACGCCGCAUGUUCCUCUAGUCCCUAAGUCCAAGGUCUUAAUUUUCUUAACUACACAAUUCCCUCAAAAACUCAGAAGGCUUCGGAUCUAUUUGCUUCCUGUGCAUACUGUGGGACAGAUGCCUCUGCCAAAUAAUUUACUAAAUUGAAUUCUUUUUCUUUAUGUUUAUUUAUUUCUUUUGAGAGAGAGAGGAAGAGAGAGAGACAGAGACAGAGACAAUCUCAAGCAGGCUCCACCCUCAGCGCGGAGCCCAAUGUGCACCCUGACCUCACGACCGUGAGAUCACAACCUGAGCCAAUAUCAAGAGUCAGAUGCCCAACUGACUGAGCCACCCAGGUGACUCUUUAAAUGGAAUUCUUAAGCCUGAUCUCUUUCUCUGACUCCUAUUCACCAUGUCAUUCUUUCCCUUGUUUCUGCAGGUCUUCUUCAUGGGGCCUUAUUUCCUUAAGUGCCCAGUUGCCUUUGCACUACUCAUUAGUCUUUGCAAAAUUACUUGUUGGGAUUCUCUAAGGCAUAGGGUGAAGGUACUCUCUCCAGAGAUACUUGGUUUUCCGUCUACCAAAUUUAUUCCACACUAUCAUUUGGGCACUACCUUAAAGCACGUUUAGGGCGUGGGGUUUCCUGACCCACUCAGGUCUCGAGAACUUGGGCUGUGAAUCCUUGCAAUGACUGAGCAAUGGUCACAAAUUCCCAGGGUUAAGUGUGUAUAUUUCUAUUCAUUUUUAAUUUUUUCUGCUUCAUUCAACACUAUGGCAACUUUCCCUGCAAUCCUCCAGGGUUGGGUUCAGAAACAGCAAGUUGACUUUUGGUUCAUUCGAAGCCUGAGGGUAGGGUCCUUUGCAAGUCCAGGGCAAAGCUGGGACCACAUCUGGUAAAACUUUCCACCUUGGAUGGGCCUUGGAAAACGACUUCUGUUCCUCUUGCCCCAUGAAAUUAAAAAGAUAAACAUAAGUUUCCUGCUAUCCGUAAACAACCCUAGGGCAGACUUAAUGUUGUUGCCAAUAUUCUCCCCUUCUUUUCUGGGUUCAGGUUUUCUCCCAGAGUUUUCUCUGGUAAUCCCCACUCUAUUUUGUCGACUUAUCAAUGGGUGUAAGAUAAUUUCUAAUGCUUUCAAUCCAGUUACAUUAGUUCCUCCUCAGAGGGUAAUUAGCCCCAAUUUCAGGCCACCACUAUUGAAAAAUAGAAUUCCUAAGCACAAUGUAUGUUCUUGUCAUAUAGUCCUAUGAAAACUGAAACGUUGAAAGAAAAAAACGGACACGUCAGAAAAAUACGAUAUAAGUAAGUUUAAAAUAUUAAGUCAAAGAAAAAUAUAUACGGUAGACCCUUGAACAAUAUGGGCCUUGAAGUGCAAAAGUCCACUUAUGUGUGAUUUUUUACAGGACACUACUGCAAAUGUAUUUUCUCUUCCUUAGGCUUUUCUUAAAUUUUCUUUUCUCUAGCUUACUUAUUAUAAAAAUACAAUAUACGGGGCGCCUGGUAUUCAAAAUAUGUGUUAAUUGGCUAUGUUAUUGGUGAGGCUUCUGGUCACCAGUAGGUUGUUAGUAGUUAUGUUUUGGGGCAGUCAAAUUUACAUGCAGAUUUUCUACUGUGUAGGGAGUCAGCCCCUUACCCCUGCCUUGUUCAAGGUCAGCUGUAAUUUAAAGUGUUUUAAACUGUUCAUAGCUGGGAAACCUGGGUGACUCAGUUGAUUAAGCAUCCAACUCUUGAUUUCAGCUCAGCUCACGAUCUCACAAUUUGUGAGGUCGAGCCCCACAUUGGGCUCUGCACUGAAAGCAUGGAGCCUGCUUGGGAUUCUCUCUCUCCCUCUCUCUCUGCCUCUCCCCCGCUCAUGUGCCCUCUUUCUUUCUCUCAAAAUAAAUAAACUUCAAGAAAAAUAAAAUAAGAAAAAUGAGAAAAAUAAAAUUUUUAAUAGUUAAAAACAUUUCAAAUUGUACAAGAAAAUUUUCUCAUUGAUAAUGACCAUCAAGAUUUUCAAAGGGUCAUUAAAGAAUCAUGAUCAAAAAUUAUGUGGUACAUUUCAAGAACAAAAUUCUAUAUAAAAAGUUAUACAAGGAUACCCUUGUAUAACUUGCAUAGCCACCCUUGUAUAGCCCUUGUAUAGCCACCAUUGGGUGGCUCUGUGCCUUAAGCAUUCGACUUUGGUUCGGAUCAUAAUCUGAUGGUUCAUGGGUUCAAGCCCUGUGUUGGGCUCUGUGCUGACAGCUCAGAGCCUGGAGCCUGCUUCGGAUUCUGUGUCUCCCUCUCUUUCUAACCCCUCCCCUGCUUGAGCUCUGUCUCUGUCUCUCUCUCUCUCAAAAUAAAUAAACCCUAAAAAUUUUUUUUAAUUUAGACAAAAGCUACAAGAGUGAGAAAGCUGACGUUUCUAAUUUAAAAAUUUGAAAAUAUUCAACUUGGUAACUUCACAUAUACUCAAUAUACAAGGUCUUUCCUAAUUCUUGUAUUUUUAUUAUUCUUACCAUAACAAUGUGGUAUUUUAAUGUAAUGAAUUUUUUCAUCAUGCCCUAAAUAGGGGCUCCCAGAUACCUUCAGUUCAUCAUAGGAUGACUAAUGUUUUCUAUUCAUGCCUGGAUAUUAAGACAGUUGAAAGUACUGGGAGAGAAAUCAAGACCACAGGAACAUGCUAGUUAAUAAACAUAGAAUGAGCUGGUUUUAUUUUUGAGUAAAGCAAAUAUAAUACAGGUAGGAACACAUGCAGGUAGCCAACAAAUGCCCACAGAGCUGCAGAGGAUUUUUGACUCCACUUUACAUAAAAUUAAAACUAUUGUGGCUACACAACCUCCUAGUUGUAGCAAACAGCCCGCAGGGAUUUAUUUUGUGUCACUGGUUACAGGGCACGUAUUCGGACACUCCAGUCUUUCCUAAUUCUUUAUCAGGCUUGCUCUGAUGUUCUGAUCUUCAUACUUGAUCAAAGUCUCCUACUUUUGCCCCUAACGGCAGAACUAGUUCGUCUGUUUCGUCAUAUGCUUCAACAUUCUUUAGUGAGGUCAGAUGAAGCUCAGUUUCCUCGCCAAGGCACUAUCCGAGGCAGCUGUUCUGAGCCCCGCAACGCAGGAGAAUAGCAGGACCGGGUCAACUCUGACUUUGAGGAACAGACUUCUCUAGAGAGCGCUAUUAUUUCCACCCACAGUUUAGAGAUUGCUGGGCGCAUAUCUGCUGUAUAAUCUGCUGUGUAACUUGGAUGAGGUGCCAACAGCUGCCCACUUCAGUUUUUAAGUUGCUUGGAAGGUAGAAUGCCUAUGGGAGCCUAAUAGGACUGAUGCAGUGCAGGGGAGGGGGGUGUUGUAGCCUCAGCUGUGCACAGAGGCAGCAUAAAGACAUGGAACCAUUUUUUCCUGCAGAAAACUAGAAAGAUUCCCACACCGGAGCUGGCAGGCAUGGAGAUAGGGACUGGGAAAUGGAGCCCAAAUGAGGCUGACCAAUGAAAGGAGCCUCUACGCAUCAUGAUGCUGGUGAUCCCCCUUCUCUACCCCACCAAGCUUCCGGGCCAUGGGCAGAUGCAGCAUUUGCCUUCCUAUAAACAGGACUGCACCGAGGGUGUGCAAGACCCCAAGCAAUUUUUUUUUUUUUUUUGAGAAUCCCGUUUAUAACAACAAUCUGGCUUAAAACUGCAUUACAAAAUCCAUGGUCCCUGUGUAAGGUAGAGUCAUUUAUUGAUGGAAAUUUAGAAUAUUGGGUAGAGAAAAA
Molecule: long non-coding RNA, 5388 nt
Organism: Neofelis nebulosa (Clouded leopard)
Lineage: Eukaryota; Metazoa; Chordata; Mammalia; Carnivora; Felidae
Exons: 2
Source: RefSeq, a predicted model, not a curated record